Tripterygium wilfordii is the source of this 7430-nucleotide long non-coding RNA. RefSeq lists it as uncharacterized. The record is from RefSeq and is a predicted model, not a curated record. The transcript is spliced from 3 exons. Lineage: Eukaryota; Viridiplantae; Streptophyta; Magnoliopsida; Celastrales; Celastraceae.
UACUUUUUACAGGGGAGUUUUUACUUUUUAUUGCUUUUCAAAAAUAAAAAAAGAAACGUUGUUGAGGCGGUCCAGAAUUCUAAUCUCACGGGGAAAAGACUGAAUCCCUAAUUUCCUUUUUUUCUUCGUUGAGGCGGUUGAGAAUCGUAAUCUAUUUUCCUUAAAAUCAUACGCGUAUCUUCUUCUGAUUACAAAGUAAAUCCCAGACUUUGAGCUCGGACUCCCCACAUUGCUUCUGUUACGCCUGCCUAGGGUUUAUGGUAACUGGUGCGUGGCUGCGUGAAGAGGGUGCAGCUAGGUAGUGCCGGCCAGGGCCACGAGAGAAUGAACAUUGACCUGAUUUUUUCAGGCAGCCGAUGGGAUUCAGGCCGAUGAUACGAAUGUUGCCAAUCUGUAUGUAUUCUCGAUAAGCACGGCAUCUCUUCCUUCUCCUCACAUCAGAUUUUAUCAGUCGCCAUUGAAACCCUAAUUUUCCUACAAAAAGUUGUUAGAGUUGUUUGUUUGUUACAAAUAUUUACAUAGGUAUACGGAAUCACAUAGUUCUGGUGAAAUUGAAGGGAUGGAGAAGGAGGGAGUCAGGAAAAGACCUCGGCUUGUGGGGGACGUGGCACCUACAGAACCAGAGGUUGGUUCGAUUACAGUUGGGGUUUUUUGACAGCGAAGGGAAUCGCAAGAGAAAAACUACGGGUUUUGAUAAUCUGACCUAGAUGGUCAUGGUUUGUAGGCGCAACGGGCUCUGGUGCUUCGGAACGGCAUUGCAUAGGAUAGGCAUGUAGGCCGCCGAGAAAGUAUCUGUUCCUUCCUUCCUCGGUCUUUCUAUCUUGUGAAACUUGGUUUUUGUCUUUAUAUAUAUGCGUUCUCCAUCGUCGAUUCAUAAGAUCUUGGGGUUUCACCAAAUUAGACCAUUUUUUGCAGAACACUGUAUUCACUAUUCACGUACGUUUUUUUUGUCCCAAUAAACUCCAGCUGUCUUCAAAGGUUUUCCUUUUGUUGCAGCAGUUGGUAUUUCAUGUUUAUAUCCACAGUUUUUUUGUCAUGUGAACAUGAUUCGAACUAUCUCUGUUGAUGUAUUGGUCGUGCAAAUUUUUUGUGCCUGUUUUUUUUGUGGGUCCCCAUGAACAGCUUGAUGUUGUGCUUGAGGUGAAAAUUUUGAUGUCUGUAAUUUUAAUUAAAAACUAGUUCAGAACAAUAUGGUUCAUGUGGGAUGAUGUUGGAUUUGCUCAAUGGCAUAUGUUUAGAAAAACUCUAGCCUCUUUAUUGCAUAAUGAUAUUCCAUUUGGUCUUAUCAUCCACCAUGACUAUGAAUUUGAAAGGAAUAUCUUUUGAAACUCCCAAUGGGUUGCCCUUUGCGGGCAUAAGUAAGCAUGGCAACGGUAAAUUUAUGGAAGUUUUGAAGGCUACACAAUAAAAGAGGCAUUUGUUUGUCUAGACAUGUGUCGUUUAGCAGACCUUCUGUAUGUGUUAUCUCUGCUAUUUGUAAAUUUGACAUUUUUUCAUACAUGUGGAAGUCUUGGACGAUGUAAAUGAUACAAUUCUUGGUCGUGAGAAUUUUUGUGCUUUUUUGGUGGGUUCCCAUGAACAUCUUGUUGUUGUGCUUGAGGUGGAAAAAUGGUGUUUGUAAUUUGAAUUAAGAACUGGUUCAGAAAAAUAUGGUUCAUGUGGGGUAUGAUUUUGGAUUUGCUCAAUGGUGCAUAUGUUUGGACAAAUUGUAGUCUCUUUAAUGCAUAAUGAUAUUCAAUUUGGUCUUAUAAUCAACUAUAAUGUUGAAUAUGAAAGGAAUAUCGUAUGAUACUGGCAAUGGGUCGUUGCACUUCGCGGGCAUAAGUUCAAUCAUGGCCAAUGGCCACAGUAAAUUUAUGGAAAAUUUGAACGUUAUGCAAUAAAAGAGGCUUUUCUUGUCUAGACAUGUGUCGUUGGGUGGAAUUCCUGCAUCGUUUACAUGUGCAAGUCUUGGAUAGUGUGCUCAGUACAAUUCUUGGUCAAGGAAGUGUUUUUUAUGCAUUUUUUGUGGGUUCCUGUGAACAACUUAAUGUUGUGCUUUAGCUGGAAAAUAUGGUGUCCGUGAUUUGAGUUGGGAAAUAGUUCUGAAAAAUAUGGUUAAUGUCGGGGAUGAUUUUGGAUUUGCUCAAUGUCAUAUGUUCAUGCAAACACUAGCCUCUUUAUUGCAUAAUGAUUUUCAAUUUGGUUGUAUCAACCAUCUCAAUCAAUUUGAAAGGAAUAUCUUAUGAAAUUGGCAAUGGGUUAUUGAGUACAAUUUCUGGAAGUGUUGAACAUUAUGCUGUAAAAGAGGCUUUUGUUUGUCAAAACAUGUGGUGUUGGGCAUAACUUUUAUACGUGCUCCUUUUGCUUUGCGCAAAUUUGCUCUUUUUUUGCGGUUGUUUACAUGUGGAAGUCUUGGAAAGUGCAUUCGGUACAAUUCUUGGUCAUGCAAAUGUAUUUUAGUAUAUUUUUCAUAUGUGGGUUCCCAUAAUGUUGUACUUUAGUUGGAUAAUCUGGUGUCCCUUGAAUGCAUUUAAAUAGUGUUACCAGGCGUUUGAGAAGCCUGGGCCAAGUUUUUUAUUUUCUAAAGAGAAAUAAAUACUCCCCUUUUCCUGUGGAACUAGUUAUUAUGUUGGCAGAUGAUAUGAUUUCUAUGUUACUGGCUUGAAUGCACAUAUUAAUUCCUGGCACACAAAGCAAUAUGCUAGUUUUAGUCCUAUAUCUAAUUGUCUGGAGAGGAGAUUUCCCUUUGAAGGUGAACACUUUUUAAAUUGCAUUGAGCAUGUAUUGAAGAAGGUUACACAAUACCGAGAGACAAAAUAUAUAUCUCAUUAAAAUGGUUUGCCCAGCGAUGAAAAGCUUAUACUAGGUUCACUCUAAGACAGUGAAUCUAAUUAAUGCCCUCACACUUUGAGAUACUCAAGGCAUUGCCUGUGUACUUUAAUCUGGAUAAGCUGUUUGUAGCGGGGGAAUAUAUGAUCUGCGAUGGGCUAUGCAUUCGCAAUGAUUUAGUAAUCGGUGAUUAUCAUAAACUUUGGGUAUAGGAUGUGUUUUAACUUUUAUUGAGUUCUAGGAUAUCCCGUAUAGUAUCCUUAUUUUCAUGUUGUACUUGUGUGGACUCGUAUUUUGAUUUGUUCAAGUGAAAUUAUUUUUGUUUACCCUGUGAUGGAUGUGGGCGGUUACACAUAACAUUUCUAGACUAAUAUUUGGAACCUCUUCAGAUAUCAUUUCAUUUCAGGUUAUCAGACUAUUCCAGAUCUGCAUGUCAUGUUUAGAUUUGCAUAAUAAGUUGACAAGUUGCAGAAUGUAAUGAGAUUCUGUCGGUCCAGAGUCCUGAAUCCCAAUAUCAGUAUACCUUCAUUUUGCUACUGAGAUUGAUUGCUUCCCUCCUGGUACAGAGAAAUUUGUGUAAUUAUUGUAAUGGAAAGUAGGGAAGUUGUUCAAUUGUUAGGCCUUUGCAAAGAAAGAUUCGAGGUUGGUCUCACUCCCGUUUAUUUAUGUUUUGAUAAAAUUGGAAUGAGUAUUUGAUCUUGGAGGGAUAUCUUUCCCCCUUAUUUUUAAUGUCUUGUGAUGUCUUAUAGUGCAAUCUGAUGGAGGAAUUGAAUAAUGCCAAACAUGUUGCCUCUACAAAACUGCUAUCACAAUCAAUUUCGUUAUUUUUUUCCCCCAAAACAGAGCACUAGCAGUUUGUUCCUCAAAAAGAUCACUAUCAGUUCCAAACCUGCACAAUUUGGUCUAUGAAGGGCAUAUGUGAUUUGGAUGGUAAAGUUAUACUAAUUUUUGCCUUUUGGUCAAGUUCUCAAGUCUUUUUGAUUCUUUGUGUAGCUGUGUGCAAAUACGAAGCUGGAUUGCAUUGUAAGUACUCUAAUGUUAUUCACCCAAUUUUUUUUUAAUAUACCUAUCCAGUCAUGUUAAAAAACCAGAGCACUAGCAGUUUGUUCCUCAAAAAGAUCACUAUCAGUUCCAAACCUGCACAAUUUGGUCCAUAACUAUGAAGGGAAUAUGUGAUUUGGAUGGUAUAAGUUAUACUAAUUUUUGCCUUUUGGUAAAGUUCUCUUGUCUUUUUGAUUCUUUUUGCAGCUGUGUGCAAAUACGAAGUUGGUUUGCAUUGUAAGUAUUCUAAUGUUAUUCACCCAGAUUUUUUUUAAUAUGCCUAUCCAGUCAUUAUCUCUCUUUGUGGAUUGAGAAUUCAACUUGCCUUUUGUAGGUUUUCUGAUUAUGAUUUGUCCAUGCAAUAUUGCUUAUAAACGUGGUAACUAAACUGAAACCCUCAUUGAAUUGCUGAUUAAUAGUGUUACCAGGUGUUCAAGAAGCUUGGGCCAAGUUUUUGAUUUUCUAAAAAGAAAUAAAUACUCCCCUUUUCCUAUGAAUCUUGUUCAGGGAAUUUGCUUUUGGAAUCUGUAGCAUCUGUGUGGGUUGCUCUAGGCUCAUGCUUUAUCACAUUUUUUUUUCCUUAGCAAUCAUAAAUUCUUUAUAUUGGCAGAUUUUAUUUGUCCUAUGUUGUCAUUAAGUUUCUUAUUUACUUAGAUUUAAUGGUUUAACUUUUGCCACUAUGAUGUAUCAUACUCGCAGAGUCGCAGGUAUGCAUGAUUUACUCUUAAUCCACAUUGACAGUGGCAUCUCACUGCAUCAAUAUGUGAUUUGGAUGGUUGAAGUUUUACCAGUGUUUGUCUUUUGGUCAAGUUCUCAUAACUUUGUGCAGCUGUGUACAAAUACGAAGUUGGUUUGAUUACCGCAGUUGCAUUUGCAUUGUAAGUAUUCUAAUAUUAUUCACCCAGUUUUUUUUAACAUGCCUAUCCGACCAUUAUCUCUGACUUAUAAGUUUUUAUGGAUUGAGAAUUCAACUUUGCCUUCUGUAGUGCAAUAGUUGCGAGCAGCUGGAUGACUUCCAGCUAAUUUUUCCAUUCUCUUUAUUGUUAAUGGGUUGAGUUCUAAUAUCCAAUUCCUAUGUUGUAGUGCCUAAUUCGUUGUUGAUUUUGCUUUUUCCUAGAUAUGCAUAGCCUGAUGCUUUUAUUGAGUUGGGUUUUCCUUCUAUUGGUUGUGUUUGGUUGAUUCCAUAGUAGUGAAGCUUUAGUCUGUAUUUUGCAGGCAGCCCAUGAGAUUCAAACCGACGAUCCAAUUGUUGGGGAUGGCAUUUGACCUGUAUUGCAUCUCGCUUUAAGCACAGAUGCAUAGACACAUUCAGUUUUGCCUUUUAUGACUGCGCUUUCUUCUCUUCUUACCAUCUGAAAAUAAUAUAAAUUGAAAGUUACAUUUUAAACUUCCAUACUGGUUGUGUAGGGCUUUGGAUCAAUACUGAAAGUGGAAAAUUGCAUGUGUCUCCUGGUGAAUUGCCGUCUUCCUACUGAAUGUGGAAAAUACGUUGUUGAGAUAUUUGGCACCAGUUUUCACCUUCCUGAUCUUGGCCCUCUCGCCUGCCACCUUCGGUCAACUCAAACAACAGGCCAGUACCAAAUCUCAGUUAGCUGUGAUUUACAACUGAAUGAAAUGAAUUAUUUUUCUUUUAUUGUAUAUCAAUCUCUUUAUGUUUUCUUUUGAAGUCUACCACACUGUGGACACAAUUCUGAUUAAUGUAGGUGCUAAUGGUCUUGCUGCUCCAAGGGAUUUUCUUGUUCCAUUAGCCUUGUUUGAGGAAGAUUACAAGCCAGCUUAUACUAUAGUACAAAAAUUUGGUGGAGAACUUUUUACCGCAAAACAAGAUUUUUCACCUUUCAAUGUAGUUGCUUGGCAUGGUAAUUAUGUUCCAUAUAAGGUAUUUAGUCUGUAUUUUGCAGGCAGCCCAUGAGAAGUUUAAUUUGCAUGCUUGAUGAUGUGCUUGAGGUCGUAAAUUUGGUGUACGUAAUUUGAACUAGUAACUAGUUUCAGAAAAAUAUGGUUCAUGUGGGAAUGAUGUUGGAUUUGCUUGAUGUCAUGUUUGGACAAACUCUAGCCUCUUUAUUGCAUAAUGAUCUUCAAUUUGGUCUUAUCAUCAACCAUAACCAUGAAUUUGAAAGGAAUAUCCUAUGAAACUGACAAUGGGGGUUGCCCUUUGCGUGCAUAAGUUCAAGUAUGGCCACGGUUAAUCUAUGGAAGUUUUGAAGGUUACACAAUAAAAGAGGCUUUUGUUCAUCUAGACAUGUGUCGUUUGGGCAAACCUUCUGUACAUGUGCUCUCUACUAUGUGUAAAUUUGACAUUUUUUUCGUACAUGUGGAAGUCUUGGACGAUGUAAACGAUACAAUUCUUGGUCAUGAGAUUUUUUGUGCAUUUUUUGUGGGUUCCUAUGAGCGACUUGAUGCUGUGCUUGAGGUGGAAAAUAUGGUCUCUGUAAUUUGAAUUAAUAACUAGUUCAGAAAAGUAUGGUUCAUGUGGACGAUGAUUUUGGAUUCUCUUAAUGUUGCAUAUGUUUGGACAAAUUGUAGCCUCGUUAUUGCAUAAUGAUCUUCAAUUUGGUCUUAUCGUCAACCAUAACUUUGAAUUUGAAAAGAAUAUCUUAUGAUUGAACGUUAUGGAAUAAAAAGAGUUUUUUUUUGGGGUCUAGACAUGUGUCGUUGGGCGGAACUUCUGUACGUGUUCUUUUUGCUAUGUGCAAAUUUGACAUUUCUUUUUUUCGCUUUGUUUACAUGUGGAAGUCUUGGACGGUGUACUCGGUACAAUUCUUGGUCAUGCAAGUGUAUUUUUAUGCAUUUUUUUUUGUGGGUUCUUGUGAACAUCUUAAUGUUAAGCUUUGGCUGGAAAAUCUGGUGUCCAUGAUUUGAGUUGGGAGCUAGUUCUAAAAAAUAUGUUUCAUGUUGGGGAUGAUUUUGGAUUUGCUCAAUGUCAUAUUUUUAUACAAAUACUAGCAUCUCUAUUGCAUAAUGAUUUUCAAUUUGGUUGUAUUAAGUUAUUAAUCCUAGCUAUGAAUUUGAAAGGAAUAUCUUAUGAAACUGGCAAUGGGUGGUUGUCCUUUGCGUGCAUAAGUUUAAGCAUGACCACAGUACAUUUAUGGAUGUUUUAAACAUUAUGCAAUAAAAGAUGUUUUUGUUUGUCUAGAUAUGUGGUGUUGGGCAGAACUUCAGUAUAUGUUUUCUUUGCUUUGUGCAAAUUUGGCAUUUUCUUCUUUUCCACCCUUUUUACAUGUGGAAGUUUUGUAAAGUAUAUUCCGUACAAUUCUUGGUCGUGCAAAUGUAUUUUUAUGCGUUUGUUAUGUGGGUUCCCGUGAGCAGAUUAAUGUUGUGCUUUAGUUGGAAAAUCUUGUGUUCGUAAUUUGAAUUGGUAUUUGGUAACUAGUUCACAAAAAUAUGGUUCAUGCAGGAGAUGAUUUUGGAUUUGUUCAAUGACAUAUAUUUAUACAAACACUAGCAUCUUUAUUGCGUAAUGAUUUUCAAUUUGGUCUUAUCAACCAUCGCUAUAAAUUUAAAAGGAAUUUCUUAUGAAACAAGAAAUAGGUUGUUGCCCUUUGCAUGCAUAAGUUUAAGCAUGACCAUAUUACAUA